AGAGUUUGAUCAUGGCUCAGGACGAACGCUGGCGGCGUGCCUAACACAUGCAAGUCGAACGGAAAGGCCCUUCGGGGUACUCGAGUGGCGAACGGGUGAGUAACACGUGGGUGAUCUGCCCUGCACUUUGGGAUAAGCCUGGGAAACUGGGUCUAAUACCGAAUAGGACCACGCGCUUCAUGGUGUGUGGUGGAAAGCUUUUGCGGUGUGGGAUGGGCCCGCGGCCUAUCAGCUUGUUGGUGGGGUAAUGGCCUACCAAGGCGACGACGGGUAGCCGGCCUGAGAGGGUGACCGGCCACACUGGGACUGAGAUACGGCCCAGACUCCUACGGGAGGCAGCAGUGGGGAAUAUUGCACAAUGGGCGCAAGCCUGAUGCAGCGACGCCGCGUGAGGGAUGACGGCCUUCGGGUUGUAAACCUCUUUCAAUAGGGACGAAGCGCAAGUAACGGUACCUAUAGAAGAAGCACCGGCCAACUACGUGCCAGCAGCCGCGGUAAUACGUAGGGUGCGAGCGUUGUCCGGAAUUACUGGGCGUAAAGAGCUCGUAGGUGGUUUGUCGCGUUGUUCGUGAAAACUCACAGCUUAACUGUGGGCGUGCGGGCGAUACGGGCAGACUAGAGUACUGCAGGGGAGACUGGAAUUCCUGGUGUAGCGGUGGAAUGCGCAGAUAUCAGGAGGAACACCGGUGGCGAAGGCGGGUCUCUGGGCAGUAACUGACGCUGAGGAGCGAAAGCGUGGGGAGCGAACAGGAUUAGAUACCCUGGUAGUCCAA
Molecule: ribosomal RNA, 773 nt
Filed under: uncultured bacterium
Lineage: Bacteria
Description: bacterial SSU rRNA
Rfam family: Bacterial small subunit ribosomal RNA
Source: RNAcentral